RNAcentral lists this ribosomal RNA (406 nucleotides) under uncultured Proteus sp. Its description in RNAcentral is "bacterial SSU rRNA". It matches the Rfam family "Bacterial small subunit ribosomal RNA", at positions 128 to 532 of the family's 1533-position model. The record is from RNAcentral. Lineage: Bacteria; Pseudomonadati; Pseudomonadota; Gammaproteobacteria; Enterobacterales; Morganellaceae.
CCCGGAUAGAGGGGGGACAACUACUGGAAACGGUGGCUAACACCGCAUAAUGUCUACGGACCAGAGCAGGGGCUCUUCGGACCUUGCACUAUCGGAUGAACCCAUAUGGGAUUAGCUAGUAGGUGGGGUAAAGGCUCACCUAGGCGACGAUCUCUAGCUGGUCUGAGAGGAUGAUCAGCCACACUGGGACUGAGACACGGUCCAGACUCCUACGGGGGGUAGCAGUGGGGGAUAUUGCACAAUGGGCACAAGUAUGUGGCGGCCAUGCGGGAUGUGGAUAGAAGUCCUUGGGGUGUAAAGACUAUCAGCGGAAGGGAAGGUGAUAAGGUCAAUACCGUUGCAGUUGACGUUUUCCGAAGGAGAUCACCUGUUAAUUACGGGCUAGCUGCAGGGGAAUUACGGGGGG